UCUGCCUGGUAGUGGGGGAUAACGUCCGGAAACGGGCGCUAAUACCGCGUACGUCCUACGGGAGAAAGCAGGGGAUCUUCGGACCUUGCGCUACCAGAUGAGCCCAGGCCGGAUUAGCUUGUUGGUGAGGUAAUGGCUCACCAAGGCGACGAUCCGUAACUGGUCUGAGAGGAUGAUCAGUCACACUGGAACUGAGACACGGUCCAGACUCCUACGGGAGGCAGCAGUGGGGAAUAUUGGACAAUGGGGGCAACCCUGAUCCAGCCAUGCCGCGUGUGUGAAGAAGGUCUUCGGAUUGUAAAGCACUUUAAGUUGGGAGGAAGGGCUUGCGGUUAAUACCUGUAAGUUUUGACGUUACCGACAGAAUAAGCACCGGCUAACUCUGUGCCAGCAGCCGCGGUAAUACAGAGGGUGCAAGCGUUAAUCGGAAUUACUGGGCGUAAAGCGCGCGUAGGUGGUUCAGUAAGAUGGAAGUGAAAUCCCCGGGCUCAACCUGGGAACUGCUUUCAUAACUGCUGGGCUAGAGUACGGUAGAGGGUAGUGGAAUUUCCUGUGUAGCGGUGAAAUGCGUAGAUAUAGGAAGGAACACCAGUGGCGAAGGCGACUACCUG
RNAcentral lists this ribosomal RNA (611 nucleotides) under uncultured bacterium. RNAcentral's name for it is "bacterial SSU rRNA". It matches the Rfam family "Bacterial small subunit ribosomal RNA", at positions 125 to 731 of the family's 1533-position model. The record is from RNAcentral.